GCAUGGAGAGCAGUGGCUUUCGAUUUCUCUCUCCCCCAGUUGGGCCGGACUCUGGACGUGAGGCUGAGGGAGUACAUGGCUCCUUCAGAGUGUGAGCUCAGAUGCUCAGAUGCUCGAGUGCUUCCGGCUGCUUUUCCGUUGGUAACUCACGUGUUCUUCCUGCAGGCUGGCAUUUUUCUUUCAUGGGUUUUUUUCGCUGGUCAGAAUUAUAGUCUUCUGAUAGUAUAUACAUAGCUGGUUAUUAUCAGAUACAUAAUUUAAAAAUGUGCAUCUAAAUAUAGAUUUUAUUGGUGAGUGCAUUGUGUUCUGAUUCCAUAAAAAGUCUUUUUUUUUUUUUUUUUUUGAGACGGAGUCUUGCUCUGCCCAGGCUGGAGUGCUGUGCCGUGAUCUCAGCUCACAGCAAGCUCCGCCUCCUGAGUUCACGCCAUUCUCCUGUCUCAGUCUCCCGAAUAGCUGGGACUACAGGCGCCCGCCGCCACGCCCGGCUAAUUUUUUGCAUUUUUAGUAGAGAUGGGGUGUCACCUUGUUAGCCAGGAUGGUCUCGAUCUCCUGACCUCGUGAUCUACCUGCCUCGGCCUCCCGAAGUGCUGGGAUUUCAGGCGUGAGCCACUGCGCCCGGCCCUCCAUAAAAAGUCUUAAGCACAAAAUUAUGCUUGAAAAAAAAACCCUGUCUGUAUAAAAAAUACAAAAAUUAACCGUGCGGUAAUGGCACGUGCCUGUAAUCCCAGUUACACAGGAGGCUGAGGCACGGGAAUUGCUUGAACCUGGGAGACGGAAGUUGCGGUGAGCGGAGAUGGCACCACUGUACUCUAGCCUGGCCAACAGAGUGAGACUCUAUCUCAAAAAAAAAAAAAAGAAAAGAAAAGAAAAUCUUAGCAGGCUCUCCUGUGCAGAUGCUGCUGGUGCUGAGCUUUGUGUCUGGGGCAAAAAAGGUGAGGGCGGGCCCCGGUUGGUUUAGGAGAAGUGUUUACGAACAGAAUGGGCCCCAUGCUCCCGGCCUGAGGAAAUUCUUUCAUGAAAAAGAUUCUUCCGCAGCUUGGAGGGGGAUGGUCCAGCCGAUGCUCCUGUCCCUCUCUCAGCCCCAGGGGCAGAAGGGAAACAGUCAGCAGCACGGCCAUUGCAGAUGGUGCCCAAGGCGGGAAGAGAUGAGGUCUCGCUCUCUCAUCCGGACUGGAGUGCAAUCGUGGGAUCAUAGCUCACUGCGGUCUCCAACUCCUGGGCUCAAGCGACCCUCCCACCGCAGCCUCCUGAGCAGCUGGGACUACAGGUACACGCCACUGUGUCUGGCAAAAUUAGUUUUACUUUACUAAAAGGAAGCACGUAGGCCUGCUCUGGUCUUUGCUACUUGCAGUUUUUGUGUUAUAGAUUGUCGGACACUCGUGGUGAUUUAAUUUUGGAAGGGACCUUCUUUCUCACCCAGUUGGAUCCUUCCAGUUUCUAGAUGAAGACACUUGGUACCUGGAGGCCUUCUGACUUUUGGGUUAGAGCUGGCAUGGAGUCCAGGCACCUGCUCCUCUGACCACUUUCUACAGGCAUGGAUGCUCCUGGGACACUGCAGGGACAGAGCCGUCCCCAGCAAUGCAGAUUGACGGGGCAGGUUUCCAGUUGGGUGGGGCCGCAUCCCUCCCGGAGAUGUGAGGCAGGUUUGAGAUGAGUCUGCUCCCCUUCUGUCUGCUGCCUCUUUCUUUUUUUUUCUUUUCUUUUUGAGACGGAAUCUUGCUCUGUAGCCCAGGCUGAAGUGCAGUGGCACAAUCUCGGCUCACUGCAAGCUCUGCCUCCUGGGUUCAAGCGGUUCUCCUGCAUCAGCCUCCUGAGUAACUGGGAUUAAAGGCAUGCGCCACCACCUAGGCUAAUUUUGUAUUUUUAGUAGAGACAGGGUUUAUCCAUGUUGGUCAGGCUGGUCUCCAACUCCCGACCUCAGGUGAUCCACCUGCCUCAGCCUCCCAAAGUGCUGGGAUUACAGGAGUGAGCCACUGUGCCUGGCCUACGAGUAACUUCUUUUUUAUUGUUAUUUUGUGAGAUGGAGUCUCGCUCUGUUGCCCAGGCUGGAGUGCUGUGGCUUGAUCUAGACUUACUGCAAGCUCUGCCUCCCGGGUUCACGUGAUUAUCCUGCCUCAGCCUCCCUAGUAGCUGGGACUAUAGGCGCCUGCCACCAAGCCCGGCUAAUUUUUUUGUAUCUUUAGUAGAGACGGAGUUUCACAGUGUUAGCCAGAAUGGUCUCGGCCUCCCAAAGUGCUGGGAUUACAGGCGUGAGCCACUGCGCCUGGCUGGGGUAACUUCUUGAUGAAUAUUUUAGUAAUAUAAAUCUUAGUCUGAAUUUCUGUGUUGCCUAGAUUCCAUGUAGGGGAAUGGGCAGGUCAGAAGGGUGUGGCCUGCGGUGUGGCCAGGUGCUAAGGAUUAGGUGCUACAGUUUUCCCCCAGCCCCUCCUGGUUCCCUGGUGAGCCCACAUCAACCUCAGAUGGGCAGACCCCCUACUCAUGGCGGGGCUGGGAGUGUGGGCUCUGUAGUUGGAUUCUGCUUGAGAAUUGUGCGUGGCCUCACUGUGGAGUGUUUGACUGGACAAAAGCCUGCUGUAUACUCAGUGUCCCCAUCUGUAGAAAGGAUGCUGAUGGUACCCACCCCCAGAGUUGUUUUCAGGACGAACCACGAUAAUACGUGUAAAAUGCUCAGAAGACUGUGUGGCAAACAGCAAGCACUUAAUAAAAAAAAUUUUUUUUAGCA
This 2722-nucleotide long non-coding RNA is filed under the name Piliocolobus tephrosceles (Ugandan red Colobus). RNAcentral describes it as "lncRNA (ENSPTEG00000021939.1)". Lineage: Eukaryota; Metazoa; Chordata; Mammalia; Primates; Cercopithecidae. The record is from RNAcentral.